Molecule: long non-coding RNA, 574 nt
Filed under: Medicago truncatula (barrel medic)
Lineage: Eukaryota; Viridiplantae; Streptophyta; Magnoliopsida; Fabales; Fabaceae
Description: long non-coding RNA (MTRU_LNC005367)
Source: RNAcentral
AACAAACCCGUGCAAGAAACACUAAUAAGCUUGGGUGGAGAAAAAAAACAAAGAAGGGGAAAUCGGUUGCCAUUCGAAACACCGGCUCGAUCAAAAACCCCUUUAAAAAACCACCCUAAAAGAGAAAAGGAACACACCCGAUGAGUAAUGACGCUGGCGUAUACCAGUGACAGUCCACAAGCAUACCCCAGCGUCAACACCAAAGAUAGCCAAACCCACACAAGCAAAACCAGGAACUUCCACCAAAACCCAUCUAGGACAGCCCUGCCAGCACAAACAGAUAGCACUAAGAGGCCAUGCAGCCAGGUACCCAAACCCUCUAAAAGAACACAACCACCAGCUGCCAACAGGCCCACAAAACACGGCAAACAGGAGCGCGCUGCAGCAGAAAAAUGCAGCCUAACCUGCCAAAACAGGAGGCUCGCUUUAUCAUAUAUAUGAAUAUAAUAGAGGAUCCACAAUUGUAAAUAAUUUAAAUGAUUUUUUUACACCAAGAAAUUAAUUCUUGAUUGGCACCGAUAAAAAUGGGAAUGUGAAUAUUACUUUUUCUUAAAUGUCUCGUUUAAACUUUUUU